RNAcentral lists this ribosomal RNA (460 nucleotides) under uncultured bacterium. Its description in RNAcentral is "partial 16S ribosomal RNA". It matches the Rfam family "Bacterial small subunit ribosomal RNA", at positions 338 to 795 of the family's 1533-position model. The record is from RNAcentral.
CCUACGGGCGACAGCAGUGAGGAAUAUUGGUCAAUGGACGCAAGUCUGAACCAGCCAUGCCGCGUGCAGGAAGACGGCUCUAUGAGUUGUAAACUGCUUUUGUACGAGGGUAAACUCAGAUACGCGUAUCUGUCUGAAAGUAUCGUACGAAUAAGGAUCGGCUAACUCCGUGCCAGCAGCCGCGGUAAUACGGAGGAUUCAAGCGUUAUCCGGAUUUAUUGGGUUUAAAGGGUGCGUAGGCGGUCGGAUAAGUUAGAGGUGAAAUCCCGAGGCUCAACUUCGGAAUUGCCUCUGAUACUGGUAGGCUAGAGAGUAGUUGCGGUAGGCGGAAUGUAUGGUGUAGCGGUGAAAUGCUUAGAGAUCAUACAGAACACCGAUUGCGAAGGCAGCUUACCAAGCUACUUCUGACGUUGAGGCACGAAAGCGUGGGGAGCAAACAGGAUUAGAUACCCCAGUAGUC